GGAACUGUCCCAAGGAAACCGUUAACAAGCUGGAUGUCCUCUACCACUCCACAGUAAGCAUCCUCCCUACAUGGCCUGUAGCCAGAAACAGGGCUGGAUAAUCAAGCAACAUCACCAUGAGCAAGCAAGAGCCUAAAAAAUGGCAGAAACACCUCUACAUAAAAACGCUGUGUGGUGAAGGGUGCCAACCCCCGAAAAAAGAAGAAAAAAAACACUUUCUGGCUGAACUUUCUUGUAAUUAGUUUAUGGACACGUGUACUAAAUCCAUCCCAUCUGGACGACUGGAAGUACUUUUUGACCCCGGCCUGUGGUCAGCAUCAUCGAGAUGUCUCCUGGACAGCAGGCGAUGGAAAAUCAUUCAAAAAAAAAAAGAAAAAAAAAAGGAGAAGACGAAGCGGCAGCAACUGUUUUAAUAUAAAAGGAAGAAGACAGAGGGCGGCUUGUCGUCAUGCCAUUAAACUAUCUUGUUUACAAAGAAACAGAUGUGCAGCUUGGACAUCCUCAGCAGCCGGAGA
Molecule: long non-coding RNA, 515 nt
Organism: Acanthopagrus latus (yellowfin seabream)
Lineage: Eukaryota; Metazoa; Chordata; Actinopteri; Spariformes; Sparidae
Exons: 3
Source: RefSeq, a predicted model, not a curated record